Molecule: ribosomal RNA, 331 nt
Filed under: uncultured eukaryote
Lineage: Eukaryota
Description: partial 18S ribosomal RNA
Rfam family: Eukaryotic small subunit ribosomal RNA
Source: RNAcentral
CCCUUAGAUGUUCUGGGCCGCACGCGCGCUACACUGUUCGACGCAGCGAGUCUUAACCUUGACCGAAAGGUUUGGGUAAUCUUCAGCAAAGUCGAACGUGAUGGGGAUCGAUCAUUGCAAUUAUUGAUCGUGAACGAGGAAUUCCUAGUAAGUGCAAGUCAUUAGCUUGCGCUGAUUACGUCCCUGCCCUUUGUACACACCGCCCGUCGCUACUACCGAUUGAAUGGUUUAGUGAGAUCUCUGGAUUGACGCUGGCUAGGGGGCGACCCUUGGCCAGACUGUUGAGAAACUGCUCAAACUUGAUCAUUUAGAGGAAGUAAAAGUCGUAACA